GACGAACGCUGGCGGCGUGCUUAACACAUGCAAGUCGAACGGAAAGGCCCCCACCUUGGUGGGGGUGCUCGAGUGGCGAACGGGUGAGUAACACGUGGGUGAUCUGCCCUGUACUUCGGGAUAAGCUUGGGAAACUGGGUCUAAUACCGGAUAGGACCAUGGUUUAGUGUCUCAUGGUGGAAAAAUUAUUGUUUUGGUGCAGGAUGAGCUCGCGGCCUAUCAGCUUGUUGGUGGGGUAAUGGCCUACCAAGGCGUCGACGGGUAGCCGGCCUGGGAGGGUGGACGGCCACAUUGGGACUGAGAUACGGCCCAGACUCCUACGGGAGGAAGCAGUGGGGAAUAUUGCACAAUGGGCGCAAGACUGAUGCAGCGAGGCCGCGUGGGGGAUGACGGCCGUCGGGUUGUAAACUCCUUUCGUUAGGGACGAAGCCACACCUUUUUUGGGUGUGGUGACGGUACCUUUGUUAAGAAGCACCGGCUAACUACGUG
This 489-nucleotide ribosomal RNA is filed under the name uncultured bacterium. Its description in RNAcentral is "partial 16S ribosomal RNA". It matches the Rfam family "Bacterial small subunit ribosomal RNA", at positions 28 to 507 of the family's 1533-position model. The record is from RNAcentral.